CCCUCGUUGGUAAACAAAUUAAAUGAACUAGUGUUGGGCCAAAAGUUCCCAUCCUUGAAGAAACAUCAAUACGUGUUUGAAAUAUUAACAUAAAAAAAAUCAAAAUCAGCAUUAACUUAUGAUCCAAAAUCUGUUAGUCUCUUUUGAUUUGGUCACUAUUAUCAGCUACCAAUUACUGUGAAAAUAUAAUGAAAUAAUACACGGCAUAAAAAUGAAAUUAAAGAACCAAUAAAUACACAACAGCAUGGAAAAAUCAAGAAAAAAACAAUAAAUUUCACAGCAUCACUCUUUAAAUGGAAAAACGCUUUUGUAAAUCCUAAUAUUAGCAGAAAUAUUGCUCUCUCCACACCAAACAGAGCAAAUACAGUCACAAACCCCAUUGAGAGCGUCACUCCAACAAAACAAAACAGUAAUAACUUGAAUGCAAAAACUAGAGUUGUCCGAGCUUGCAUUUGAUCUGGUAUAAUGGAGUAAAUAGUGUAUAAAUGAGCCCCGAAUGUGACCCCGGGAGCAGCAUGGCACGCUAUGAGCACAUCUGACCACGUCCGUACACUGACAGCUGUUCCUACAGUCAGUCCUAGACCGGCUAUGAACACUAUACUGGGAAAUGUAAAGAUCAUGACUAAAAACAUUAUGAUUUGGUGUCCAUGUCGCGAAUUUGCAAGGUCAUGAUAUGCAACAGCUACUGGGAAAGUGGAGGAUAGGAUCAAAUUUAAAGGAACAGCAACAUCUGGAUUGAGAAUAUUUCUUAUAGUGACCGUAAAACUAACAAGUACAAAUAAUAUUUCCGCAAAAUGAAAAUGUUCAUGCGUUAUUUUAGUGAAAAUAAAAGCAGUGUUCAGUAAAAUGAGUAAAAUCCAUCGUGCAGUUUCUGCUGAACUGUCAUGUGUUUCAGAGAGGAUUUGAUUUUGUUCAUGCACAUCUUGAAUGGUUUCAUCUGCUUCUAACUUUUCACUCAGUGCUGAGUGAAAUCUGUGAUCAUUGAGCCGAACUAACUUGUGUAUUUCUGUUAUAAGAGUUGUUCUUUGAGCAGGUUUUGGUUCAGAGUCUCUUAUGAUGUGAAAUCUUCCUCCACAUGCGUUGAUCAUUUCUCCAGCAAUCCCUCUGGAGGCUCCUGUCAAAGGUUCCUGGUGAUUUUGGAGCAGAAGAACAAUGCAGUACUGGAGGACUUCUGCUCCCAGCAGCUCCUGGGCUCGUUUCUCAAUAUCACACUGUUGUGAUUGUUGAUCUUCCAGAUUCAGGACCAUUAGAACGGCGUGAGGUCCAGGAGACGAGAGAAACAGCGCUGUUGUGAAGAAGAUCUGCAGCACUGAAUCUGGACUGACCUCUGACUCCCACAACCAGGAUCCUCAGAGCCUCAUCAUGAGAUGCUGAAAUAAUGUGA
This is a long non-coding RNA of Cyprinus carpio carpio, 1384 nucleotides long. The record is from Ensembl. NCBI's taxonomy places the organism in Eukaryota, Metazoa, Chordata, Actinopteri, Cypriniformes, Cyprinidae.